Molecule: long non-coding RNA, 575 nt
Organism: Argiope bruennichi
Lineage: Eukaryota; Metazoa; Arthropoda; Arachnida; Araneae; Araneidae
Exons: 3
Source: RefSeq, a predicted model, not a curated record
AUUACGCGGACGAAUAUCGUUCAGAUGAAAGUGCUACGCAAUUCCUUAACGAUUUGAUAGCAGAAAAAAGAUUAUUCUUAGCGCGAAUUGGGGAAGGUAAAUGAAUUUGCGAGGAAGAUUUUCAUCCGAGAACAAUUAUCCCCUUCCGUUCGGAACCGUUUUCGAAAAGUCAACUUUCCAGAGGCGAUUUGACGUUUUGUUUUCCCUCCGCCAUGGCGGACAUGACGUCAUCGCUUGGCCUGUUUCCAAGACAACGGAGGGAGAGCUUGAUAGUUGUCUUGCCUAAUGGCCCUAUACAACUGUUUAGUCUAUCUAACUGGAAAUCUGCCACUGUUAAAAUGUACUAACGCUACACUGCUAAAUUGCAAUUAGAAAAUGAUCAGAGACCAAACCAGAAACUGAAAACAGGAGAAGAUUAUAUAUACUCCGAAUUGCUGAUUAUAAAAAAGGCAACUUCACAGAGGUUGAGAAAACCUUAAUUUGAAAUGGAACUUCCGUCAUUGCCAAUCUAGUUCUGGAGGAAUAACUUUUUUUUUUUCAAUUUUAUUACAUACAAUAAAAUUUGGAGUGGGAAA